GUCGAGAAUCUUGGGCAAUGCGCGAAAGCGUGACCCAGCAAUGCCGCGAGUAUGAUGAAGGCCCUCGGGUCGUAAAGUACUGUCUCCCGUGACGAAAAAUGACGGUAGCGGGGAAGGAAGCCACGGCUAACUACGUGCCAGCAGCCGCGGUAAUACGUAGGUGGCGAGCGUUGUUCGGAUUUAUUGGGCGUAAAGGGUCUGUAGGAGGUUUGUUAAAUACGGGGUGAAAUCCCGAAGCUCAACUUCGGAAUUGCCUUGUAGACUGACGGACUGGAGUACCGGAGAGGUAAGCAGAAUACCAGGUGUAGCGGUUGAAUGCGUAGAUAUCUGGUAGAACACCAAGAGCGAAGGCAGCUUGCUGGACGGAAACUGACUCUGAAAGACGAAAGCAUGGGGAGCAAACAGGAUUAGAAACCCGAGUAGUCC
This 426-nucleotide ribosomal RNA is filed under the name uncultured bacterium. RNAcentral's name for it is "partial 16S ribosomal RNA". It matches the Rfam family "Bacterial small subunit ribosomal RNA", at positions 354 to 796 of the family's 1533-position model. The record is from RNAcentral.